Molecule: ribosomal RNA, 433 nt
Filed under: uncultured bacterium
Lineage: Bacteria
Description: partial 16S ribosomal RNA
Rfam family: Bacterial small subunit ribosomal RNA
Source: RNAcentral
AACGAACGCUGGCGGCAUGCCUAACACAUGCAAGUCGAACGAGACCUUCGGGUCUAGUGGCGCACGGGUGCGUAACGCGUGGGAACCUGCCCUUAGGUUCGGAAUAACUCCCCGAAGGGGGUGCUAAUACCGGAUAAUGUCAUCGGACCAAAGAUUUAUCGCCUUUGGAUGGGCCCGCGUUGGAUUAGCUAGUUGGUAGGGUAAAAGCCUACCAAGGCGACGAUCCAUAGCUGGUCGGAGAGGAUGAUCAGCUACACUGGGACUGAGACACGGCCCAGACUCGUACGGGAGGCAGCAGUGUGGAAUAUUGGACAAGGGGCGAAAGUCUGAUACAGCAAUGCCGCGUGAGUGAGGAAGGCCGUAGGGUUGUAAAGCUCUCUGACCCGGGAUGAUAAUGACAGUACCGGGAGAAUAAGCUCCGGCUAACUCCGUG